GAUGAACGCUGGCGGCGUGCCUAAUACAUGCAAGUCGAGCGAACAGAUGAGGAGCUUGCUCCUCUGACGUUAGCGGCGGACGGGUGAGUAACACGUGGAUAACCUACCUAUAAGACUGGGAUAACUUCGGGAAACCGGAGCUAAUACCGGAUAAUAUAUUGAACCGCAUGGUUCACUAGUGAAAGACGGUUUUGCUGUCACUUAUAGAUGGAUCCGCGCCGCAUUAGCUAGUUGGUAAGGUAACGGCUUACCAAGGCAACGAUGCGUAGCCGACCUGAGAGGGUGAUCGGCCACACUGGAACUGAGACACGGUCCAGACUCCGACGGGAGGCAGCAGUAGGGAAUCUUCCGCAAUGGGCGAAAGCCUGACGGAGCAACGCCGCGUGAGUGAUGAAGGUCUUCGGAUCGUAAAACUCUGUUAUUAGGGAAGAACAAAUGUGUAAGCAACUAUGCACGUCUUGACGGUACCUAAUCAGAAAGCCACGGCUAACUACGUG
RNAcentral lists this ribosomal RNA (497 nucleotides) under uncultured bacterium. RNAcentral describes it as "partial 16S ribosomal RNA". It matches the Rfam family "Bacterial small subunit ribosomal RNA", at positions 28 to 507 of the family's 1533-position model. The record is from RNAcentral.